This is a long non-coding RNA of Drosophila yakuba, 5301 nucleotides long. RefSeq lists it as uncharacterized. The record is from RefSeq and is a predicted model, not a curated record. The transcript has 3 exons. Lineage: Eukaryota; Metazoa; Arthropoda; Insecta; Diptera; Drosophilidae.
AAUGCAUUUCUGCAGCAGCUGCAGUCAACAUGUUGCUGGUGUGCUUUUGUGGCUUUGUAGCCCACCACAAGUCCGAGAACCCACCACACUCGAUUGUAGUAUUCGUAUCCGUGUGUUUUUGUAUCUGUGAGUUUCGCACAGUAUCUGUGUAUCUGUGUGUGGGCUUGCACGUGUUUCGCCAAAGGAUUACCACUGAGAACCUAGAAUCCGAAGCUCAGCUGUUGUUGUUGGCCAAGUGCACUGAACAAAAUAUCACACCAUAUGAUGUAUGAUUUGAUUAUUUUGAAUUCCCAAUUGAUAUAUUAAAAUAUUUAAAUCUUCUGAAUAAUUUUUUGUAAAUUAUGACCCUAUAACUUUACAAUAUGCCAAAUUAAUGAAUUUUUUCUCUCUCUCAUAAUUGUCCGAAUCCCGUCGGGUUUUUAUUACAAGGGCUUGACACAAGUGCACACUGUUAAGCGGAUUGAUAAGAAAAGUGUCGAAAAUAGACUGCAUUUGCUUCCAGUGUAAUGUUGGCCGUGUUGCUUUUGCCGUUUGUGGGCUUGUCGCCUGACUGACAUUUCCUUUUGAUGCGCCUACGUGCCCGCUUUGGCAUAUGCAUUAGUUGGCCCCCACAGGGGCGGUCGAAGGGAGUGGAAGCGGGGGCGGGGCAACUCCAAUGAUCGAACGUGACAUUUUAGCCCCACACAACACAACAUACAACGUACGACUCAACGCAGAACUCAGAAGGCCCAGAACACUUGGCUCAAAACUCAAAAGUCUUGCGCAUGACGCAGCUGGCGGAAAAGGGGCAAAAAAAAGGGAAAAGUGGGCGAAAAACAAACGACUUGAGUGAGUUUUUCCCGCCUUGAGUCUGUAUAUUCUCACAGUCAAUUGCAUUGUUUUUGUUCAGCCGCUAAUUGUGGGUGUUGUUCUUGUUUCGGUGAUGCAACCAUUAGGCGAACAAUUUGCGCGGCUAUCAUGGCUGCAAAUGCAUGUCAGAUGAGUCUAUCAAGGUGCAAUAUUGAAAUUAACAUAAUGAAAACUAUAACUAUAAUCGAAGCCCAGCACCUGUUAUUAGUAACUUCAAGUGGAUUCAAAUUAAAUUAUCAAUUACUUGAGUUACUUUGUACCUAUUUUAUGUGUAUUGUAUAGUUAUAUUUCUCAAAAGCCAUUAAAUUGCUUAGAACCUUGCUUGUUAGAGAUUCUUCUAACAAGACCUUAAUUGCUCUUGUUGCACAGCAGGCAAGAUUCUCAAUGACUGACAUCUCCUGAGGAGCAGGAAGACGCCCUCUCACCUGAAAAAAAAAGGAAAAAACCGAGCUAAUUACGAUGCACACACCUCGGGUCACAAAGGCAACACUUGCUGUGCCCUUUUAUCUUUAUGACAUAAUCUCCGCGCCCAGAUGACCGCAAAGUACGGCUAGAAAUUCUAUUCUUCGCCGCUCAUCGUUGGGCAUUUCGAUUCUUUUCCCACUAAUCAACAGGGAUUUUCCCUCAACUCAGCGGCAAUUUAUGGACAACGAGGGGCGCAAGCACAUGUUCCAUUCGGAUGCGAACAAAGAGACAGAUGCAGAUACACAGAUACGGAUCGGGUUUUUAGGGAUCGCUGCGUAUUUAUUACAUCACAGUCAGUCAGAAGGUGGAAUAAGUGAAAGAGGAAGCAAGAGGCAGAAAAAACGAAAUAAAACGAAAAGAACAGAAGGGGUGAAGCAACAGCAGCAGCAGCAGGAAUCACAGAACUCUGCUGUUCGACGGUUGAAAACCGAAAGUGCCAUGAGGUAGUAGUAGCCUAUAGACCUACAUAAAGCAGGGUCACCCGAUAACAACAGGAUAAACGAUGAGAAGAGGGGGCAUUGUUUCGCUUUCAUUCAGACUCGCAAUCGGAAUCGCUUUGAGAUUCAGAUUCAGAUUCAGAUUCAUUUACGUUCAGAUACCGAUUCCAGGCCCAGGCACAAUUCCGAUCCCCCGAGAAAGGAAGCCAAAGGCGACCAGCAAUAAAUCAAAGACAUAAAGUUGAAUGCACCGGGGCAAAAAGGGAAAAAAGGCAGCAAAGAGGCUAAGGCGGAUGCAAAGUCGUCACCAGCUCGUUGGGAACCUGAAGACGCGAACCUUGAGAACCUUCAACUCGACUCGUAGUGGUCGUGGUCCUACCUCAAUGAGGGAUCUUCAGCCACAAAUCUGAAUGGGGAUAACAAAAAAAUACAAAAAAAAAAAUAAAAUUAUAAAAAACAGAAAUCAAAAAGGAAGCAAGACCAUGUGACGUUUGUUUUGAGAAAACGUCAGCUGAGCGAAAAGGGAGCUCUUGGCAAUCUGGGGUUACUUUUUGCCAAAAGGGUUCUUCUUUGGACAUUGCUUUUAUUUUUGGAGAGCAGGGCGACUGGGGAAAAAAUGGCAUAAUUUGCUUAAGGAAACUUUUCCAAUUUAUAAAUGACAAACAGAAAAAGCGAGCAUAAUGAGGAAAACUUGGAAGUGAACGGCGUUUUUCCCCCGCCCCACGCAACAGCUUUUCAUCUAAAAAGACAUUUUCUCGUUUUUUCUAAUUAAAGUGCCUGGAGAUUUGCAUAAAAGAAGGGCUACCGAGGAAUCGUCGUUGAGCGGAAAAAAGGAGCAAACGUUUAAGCAUUAAUCAAAAAAUCAGCUGAAAAUUAAAAACGAAUCCCAAAGAUGCGGGGGUAAAAGGACUGGUGGAGUGGCAAAAAGCAAAAGCAACUGAAAACCCAACUGGAGUUUGGGAAAGUUUCAAUUAAUUUUGUGCCUCUCCUACAUGAGUUUCUCAAUUUGGGUCACCUUUUGGCCACAUGUAUCCCCACAAGCAUUGCCUGCAAAAGAUGCAGAUACAGAUAUAUGUAUAUAUGGGAUGCAGCAACGCCCAGACACGUCCAAUGUUCCGUGAUUUCUCUCAGUGAAAAUUACCACUGACAAUAACUGAGGAAAGGAUGAAAGUGCGGUUGAGGCAGAGGAGGAUGCCGAAUGAUGUGGAUGUGAAUGCGAAUGCGAAAUUCUUGCAGUGGGUCGGCGGUUGGUUAAGUGGUCCUUGAUAAGCGGCUGCCAGCUUAAAACCGUAAUGCGCUUUACCAACUUCACUUCACUUCAGCCCGUGUAUAUAUGUAUAUAUAUAUUUUGGUGUGCGCCGAUACAUAUAACUAUACGUAGUAUAAAAACCAAAAAAAAAAUAAACUCUUUGCGCUGCUGAUGAAAUAUCAAUAUUGAAGCAGAGGAAAUUUUAAUUCGAUAGUCGUGAGAGACAAGCUGGCAAAAAAAAAACAAAAUAAAAAAGAAAAACAAGGAAGAAAUAUAAAAGGAGAUUGCAUGCACUGCUGUUCAGUUAGUGGAAGCGUUAAAAAUGCCACUGAUUUCGCCGAUCUCUGUUGCAGUCUUUUCAUUAUUUAUUUAAUGGCAUACAGGUGCAUUUGCAACUGGAUUCGUAUGUUUUCCCAUUAAGAAAUGAAGAGAAAAGCGGAGGGAUUUAUAUAUUUAAAAGCGCUCUUGUAAGCAGUAAAAUGCUUUUGCAUACACUCAUGUAAAUUGAAAUUUGUAAAUGGCAAAUGUUUUUUGUAAUUGGAACAAUUAUUUCGCGUUUGUCAAUAAAGUGCUAUUCUUCAUUCAAUUAAACAGCAUUCAUGAACCAAAAAUGCAAUCUAGAUUUAAUUAAAAUAAUUCCAAUCUAAAUGGAAACGAUGUUUUUUUCAUCAACAUAAAUUAAUUUGUUGUGUUAUUUUGCCAUUUGAUAUACAUAAGUGGAUCGGAUUAUAUAUUUCAUAUAUAAUGCAAUGUAGUUUGGUUGGUUUUCUUGUUAGCAAAGAAAAAUUAAAUUUAAUAUAUAUAAUAUUCAGAUUUUGUUAUCAAUUAAUAUUGUAAGUGUUUAAAAUAGUUGAGUGAUUAAAAUAGAAACCAAAGUAGCAAAGAUAGUUUUGAACUCAAACAUUGAAAAAGUGUCUAAUUUAUUUAACACAUUGCUUUAUUAACAAGUUGUAGCUUUUAUGUAAAAUAGCCAAAUCUUUUAUUUGUAUUAAUUAAGCAGAUGUGAUUUGAAAAAUGUUGUGCCAAAGUUGAGAACUCAAAAGCAUUCUGUUUACUUAACAAUUUGCCAGAAAUAAACGUGUCGCUUAAAACUUACUUGUUGUGUUGACCCAACAAAUGCACGGCAAACUUUGUCCAGAGCGUGGUUCUCUUUUUGCGGUCCAAAGCGAAAGUUGUUACAGUUUGUUAAGUUGCAAUUUAUGUUUCAGUUUUAUAAUAUAAUUUAUACACAAAGUUGUAUACACGGUUGGCGUCGAUAUGUAGUUUGGCUAUGGAUGUGAGAUGUGGGGUAUGGGGGGAAAAACUUCACCCGACUAAAAGUCAAUGUCACAUGACACGCGCACGAUUCACCAACACUGAGGCACUUUCGAGGCUUUACAGUUAGUGGCUAACAAGUUGAGAGCCACCAACUAGCAACUGGCUCACUGACUGGCUGGUCGGUCAGGAGUUCCAGGCCAGUUCCAGUUCCAGUUCCCGGCCAGACAAUAAAAUUUGCGCCAUAAAUCAAUGCAGCUCUCUGCAAGUUUGCUGGCCGUCUCGUCGUUUCGUCGUGGUUCCGCUGCAAAAAGUCUGCAAGUGUCACACUGGCAGCAACUGCAAAUGCAAUAGCAACAACUGGAUUCUGGCUUUUAGACCGAGUUAUGUUGUGUAUGGCUGAUCUUGGCCAGUCUGCUGAUGACUAAGAUUUAUUCGUGGCAACUGGCAACUGGCCACUGGUUACUGGCCACUGGCAACUGGCGACAUCGGCUGCUGGCGGGUAACUGCACAAGGCCGACUGGCAGGAUGAACCACGGAGCCUGUCCCGGCUGAAAAUCACCAAUGUUUUACCAUCUCUCAUCCGAAACAAGGGGGUGGCAUUGGCCGUGGCCGUGGCAGAAACACGCAAAAAACAACUGAAAAAUAAAUAAAAAUCAGCGGGAAUAUACCUAUAUAUAUAUACAUACAUAUAUAUAUAUAUACACUCAUACGUAUGCAAAUUAAAAGGGAGUUGGAAAUAAAAAUGGAGCAGCAGCCAUCAACCGCAGAACGCCGACUGCGCUGCCCUUUGCAAUUUUUUCUAAUGAACCGCGAUUUGCGCUCAAGCAAAAAAAAAGCGGGGAAAUGCCGUCCGAUUUUCAGAGAUAUUCCUAUACUUUUUACCCCGCUUCAAAUGGAGUUACUUUUUGAGUCAAAGAAGCGAGGACGAUGUAUUAUGGUCCACAGUUACUUAUAGCUUUUUUUAAGUAUAUUUUAUGAUUACAUGUUAAAAUUUGUAGAGCGCUAUCUAUCACUUUCCAUUUGACAUUACUUUUAGUUUAAAUU